UCCAGACUCCUACGGGAGGCAGCAGUGGGGAAUAUUGCGCAAUGGGCGAAAGCCUGACGCAGCGACGCCGCGUGAGGGAUGAAGGUCUUCGGAUCGUAAACCUCUGUCAGCAGGGAAGAACGGUCACUGUGCUAAUCAGCAGUGAAUUGACGGUACCUGCAAAGGAAGCACCGGCUAACUCCGUGCCAGCAGCCGCGGUAAUACGGAGGAUGCGAGCGUUAUCCGGAUUUAUUGGGUUUAAAGGGUGCGUAGGCGGACGCUUAAGUCAGCGGUAAAAUUGGGGGGCUCAACCUCGUCGAGCCGUUGAAACUGGGUGCCUUGAGUGGGCGAGAAGUACGCGGAAUGCGUGGUGUAGCGGUGAAAUGCAUAGAUAUCACGCAGAACUCCGAUUGCGAAGGCAGCAUACCGGCGCCCAACUGACGCUGAAGCACGAAAGCGUGGGUAUCGAACAGGAUUAGAUACCCUCGUA
This 469-nucleotide ribosomal RNA is filed under the name uncultured bacterium. Its description in RNAcentral is "partial 16S ribosomal RNA". It matches the Rfam family "Bacterial small subunit ribosomal RNA", at positions 330 to 792 of the family's 1533-position model. The record is from RNAcentral.